GACGAACGCUGGCGGCGUGCUUAACACAUGCAAGUCGAACGGUGAAGCGCCUUCCUUUUUGGAGGGUGUGGAUGAGUGGCGAACGGGUGGGUAACACGGUAGUAACCUGCCCCCUUCUUCUGGAUAACCGCAUGAAAGUGUGGCUAAUACGGGAUAUUCUGGGUCUGUCGCAUGAUGGGUAUGGGAAAGGUAUUGUUUCGGGGGGGGAUGGGCGCGCGGCCUAUCAGCGUGGUGGGGGGGUGAGGCCGUCCCGAGGCGGUUACGGGUAGCCGGCCUGAGAGGGUGGACGGCCCCACUGUGGCUCUGACACGGCGCCCACUCUUACAGGGGGCAGCAGUGGGGAGUAUUGCGCAAUGGGCGCGAGGCCGAUGCAGCGCCGCGGCGUGUGAGAUGGAGCCCUUCUGUUUGUGAUCCUCUUCCGCCAGUGAAGCAGGCCUGCCUCGUUUGUGGGUGGGUUGACUGUAGCUGGAUAAGAAGCGCCGGCUAACUACGUG
This 494-nucleotide ribosomal RNA is filed under the name uncultured bacterium. RNAcentral describes it as "partial 16S ribosomal RNA". It matches the Rfam family "Bacterial small subunit ribosomal RNA", at positions 28 to 507 of the family's 1533-position model. The record is from RNAcentral.